Molecule: long non-coding RNA, 3440 nt
Filed under: Triticum aestivum (bread wheat)
Lineage: Eukaryota; Viridiplantae; Streptophyta; Magnoliopsida; Poales; Poaceae
Description: long non-coding RNA (TAES_LNC012048)
Source: RNAcentral
CCAAACAUUUGUCCAAAUCAAAAUGGGCAUAGAACAUAAGUACAAAUGUUUGGAAGCUAAAAGUAUACUACAUAAUUUUUCACUUAUAACACCUUUGUCCCUAUUUUUAACAGUGACUCGCUAUUGCAGCAUAAACUAAUUCAUUCUCGAAAUAUUCAGAAGAAAACAUAUUGACCAAGCAAAAAUCACUUUGGCACAAGAACCUUGUGACAACUAUAGAAAAAAGAUUGAGAUGGUUACUCUCAUAGAAGACAGCUUCAAAUAUAAUUUUAGGAAAUAAAUUUGUACAAUAUUGGCCUACACCGAAAGAAAAAAGCUCAUACACACAGUAUCAUGAAGGAAACGAUUCCUCGUUAUCUCAGUUCCAAAUGGAAACUGGUAUCAAUUCACUAAGAUUUAAAUGAAUGAGAACUGUUAAAUCCAUGUCUAUCUCCAUUUUUAGCGAUUUCAGCAGCGGGCUCACGGGUAUCUACACAACAGAAAUAUAGAAUAUGAGUUUCGGUUCACUUUAUGUGACAAUUAUAGAAAAGGAACAACCACAAGAAAAAACAAACAAACAUGAGAAAGCACAUGCAAGCAAAUAAGCCUUUAUUUUUUCUGAUGAACAUAUGAAACAUCAUAGUAACUAAACACAGUAACAAACCCAUUUGAAGGUAACCAUAUUAGUGCCCAUAGUGCAUAGUUAUUUGAUCCAUAUUUGUUGUCACGGGCGACAAGUACAUAAAAAUUGAUGAACGAUCAAAGGGUAUUUGGUCAAAGGAUAGUUAGUUCUACUUCACAAAUUGCGACCAUGAUACAUUACAAGUUUCAUAGAUUUUUGGUUUAAUGAAUGUUCAGCUAAGAAGAAAAUGAAUAAAAUAUCAACAUAUUAAUCUCUACUAUUAAACCACAGUUGGUACGUUAAACGGUACCCACGUAUCCACCACUCGCGUGACCUCCCCACAUCAUCGUUUUUUUCAACCGAACCCAUUUCCCGAUGCAAGGAAAAAAGCCCUACAACACCGACCACCCUUUUCCUUCUCCCUGGUACGACCCCCACAUGCACGAUUGCUCCUACGGCGCCGAUUUUGACCAUGUCUCCCAUGUGAUGUUGCUUUGUCCCGCUCCCUCUGCCAUCCAGACGCACUCCCUUGCCGCCUCUCUGCUUCAAGGUGUGUGCUCUGAAACCGUCACCUCCUUUCUUCAGCCCGUGGCAUCUAUUCUUCAAUGGAUCAUCUCAAUUUUUCGUCCUUCACUGAGUCCGGCGGCGACAACCAAAGAACCAAGUCCCCAUCCAUUUUUUGAGGGCAUGCAAUUAACGAAGGGGAUGUGUGGCCCAUGAGGUUGCUGCCAUCAGCCAUCGAGGCUGCUGAAAUCUAAUGAAAAAGUGCCUACGGUACAGUUCAUUUCCACUCUCAGUUGGUAGAAAUAAUCAAAUUUCAAGCAUACAAAUUCAAAAUGAAAAAGUCUAUUAUGAGCACCAGAAAGAUAGAAAUGAUCCAUUUAUUUCAAUGCAUACUACUACACCUUGGUGCUUAAAGACAAAACUUAGUUGCAAACAGUGCAUUACCUAGGAAGAACAUUUGGUGUACUGAGCAUAACAAUUCAAAAUUAUUCUAUGGCUAUGAAGUGCCUAAAUCUGAGGUUGCAACAUGAAAGCAAGUACUGAUCAAAUUGACAAAUUAUAUGGUUCAUUCGUUCAUAGUGAACACAGAAUUAAAAGAACUGCUAGAACUCAUGGUGGCAUUCUAUAGAAGCAUCAUUCUUCUGCAAGUAUAGUGUUCUUAAGAAAGCAUGGUGUAGCCAAGAGAUCAAGGUGUCAUACAAGCAUUAUUUCACAGCACAAUCUAGGGAAAAAAUCCUUCGUUCUGGAAGAAUGGCAACCCAAGAUGUACCGACGACAAGAUCCACAGUUGCUUUGCAUUACUCCAAAUCAAGAGUUGCGAUAGCAACCUGUUAAUCUGACAUACCUUUAGAUAGAAGCUCAACGACAAUUUCCUUCUGAACCCAUAUUGAGAAAAAUAAGCCAGAUUUGAAUUUUAAUAUCUUUGCCAGCAUUUAUUUUCAACUGUGCAGGCAAAAUAAAACAUGAAUUUCACACCGCAGAAACUACUAAAUGUGAAAUUACAGAAUUUUAGCAUUUGAAUAUGAGAGAAAUGUAAAGCAUUGUACAUGAUAGUAAUCGUGUUUCAUAGAACUUUGUCAGUGGUAGUGACAUGCCACCGACACCAAAUGCCGUUUAUAAUGUACUCCAUAAUGAUCUUUUUUCAGUUUAUCCAUAAUGAUCUACAACCAUUCCUUGAGCUUCACAUGGUACCUGGUCCUGAUACCAACAUCAAAACAAUGCAGAGUAUUGCUAUGUUUUAAAGUGUGCUUGUCUUAGCAAGGCGUGCCUCGGUUUUCGUUUACACCAUGGUAAACCUCCCACUCUCUAUAUCUCUCUCUAAACAUCUCCGCCUCCAUCAUCGCCCCCGCUCCCCUCACUAUGUCUCUAUGCACUGCCACUCCCCUGCUACCCAAUGUUGGUCCCUGUUAAACUGUUUAACCAUCCGUGAAUUAAACACUAUGCCUUGAAAAAUACUUUCCCUUUAUAAUGAAACAUGCCUACUUCUUUUCCUAAAUAUCAUUCAUCAAUUCAAAUUUGUGAGGUUUCUCUACUACUUAAAUAGUGCAUUAUAUCAACAUAAACUUCAAGUGAGUACAAUAAUUAAGUGAGGUAGCUACAUGCUUGCAUUUCACCUAAAAAUGAUUAAAAGAAGUACUAUUUCGCUCUAAGGUGUCAUACAAACAACAAUAACUCAGUGGACUUUCUGUACAAUUUAGAAGAAAAGCGCCUAGUAUAUCACCCCACUCGACCCUGCUUGGCAUAGAAGAUGGUAGACUCAAAAGAUAUACUAUUUCUAUUCCUUAGCCUGAUGGGUCUGUCUCUCUCAAUAUUACCUCCAUCCCACUAAAACGCAUGCAUUAUGAAUCAUGAACAGGGUGGCUAAUGCAUUUCUGUUACAAAUAUGCUACCAGAAAAAGCUAUAUGAAAUAAGCAUGAUAAACACGAACCAUAUAUUCUCUACAAAUAACACAUGAAAACAAAAUAAACUACAACUUAUAACAGAUUGUACUGAAGAUAAAUCAUCACCCUUCACAACAUGAAUUCAUUGUGAAGCAUCAAUAUUUACAUAAAACAAAUUCCAUGUCAUGCUUAAUGCAAAAGUCUGCACUUAUAUCAGCAAAAAAGAACUUAAAACAAUUUUGAAGGGACAACAUCGCUAUCAGGUGGCAACUCUCCUGCAGCAGUGGCAACAAAAGCAAAUAUGAAGAAGUCUUUACUAACCCCACGUGCGAUUCUGAAAAUGAAAAGAUGGAGAUUGAUGUCGAACAUCCGACACUGACGAAGAAGAUGGUCAGGCCAAUCGCAUAAUGUACAGUACAAAAUUUAUGACAAUGACAGUUUAUUUCGAUCAUCU